CUCAAAUGAAUUGACGGGGCCCGCACAAGCGGUGGAGCAUGUGGUUUAAUUCGAUGGUACGCGAGGAACCUUACCAGGGCUUGACAUACGUUGGAAGCGCAUCGAAAGGUGCGUGCCGCUUGCGCCGGCGUACAGGUGCUGCAUGGCUGUCGUCAGCUCGUGCUGUGAAGUGUUGGGUUAGGUCCCGCAACGAGCGCAACCCCUGCUGCCUGUUGCCACCACGAGAGGUGGGGACUCAGGCGGGACCGCCGGUGACAAACCGGAGGAAGGUGGGGACGACGUCAAGUCAUCAUGGCCCUUAUGUCCUGGGCUACACACGUGCUACAAUGGCCGGUACAGAGCGCAGCGAGGCCGCGAGGCGGAGCGAAUCGCUUAAAGCCGGUCCCAGUACGGAUUGGAGUCUGCAACCCGACUCCAUGAAGUUGGAAUCGCUAGUAAUCGCGCAUCAGCAUGGCGCGGUGAAUACGUUCCCGGGCCUU
Molecule: ribosomal RNA, 479 nt
Filed under: uncultured Spirochaeta sp.
Lineage: Bacteria; Pseudomonadati; Spirochaetota; Spirochaetia; Spirochaetales; Spirochaetaceae
Description: bacterial SSU rRNA
Rfam family: Bacterial small subunit ribosomal RNA
Source: RNAcentral